UUGCUCCUAAGGGGCGAGGGGAGCGCGGACCAGUCAUCAAAGAGACGCCGGGGGGAGGGGCGGACUUUAUAAUUCCGGUUCGUUCGUAGGGGCGGGGCAAGGAGGGUAGUAUCGCGAGACCUCACGGAAGCUCCAGAGUUUCGGUUCGUUUUCAAUUAACACCUGUUUCAACCCUCCCAUUGCUUGGAUGGGAUCACUUAGGGCUGGAGGCGGGGAGGGGCUCAAACGAGGUCAGACAGCAAACUAGUAGUGUGGAGACCAAAACCCCGGCAGCCUGGCUAAUCACUUGGCCUACUGUAAUUCUCAGAAGAACCCUAUCGUAUUAUGAUGCCGUUUUUACAGAUGAGGAGACUGAAGCACACACACUGUCACUGGAUCAUGGCCACACAGUAUAUCUCAGCAAGAACCUAAUGUCUGCAGACUCAGGGGAGUCCCAAUGGCCGGACUGGCAGCUCCUUGAGGGCACGGACAUCUGUCUGUCCCGGCCUUGCAGUGUCCCCAGUUCAUACAGCAGGGACAGGCACACAGAAGGUUUAAACAGGAUCCACAGGUGGCAGUCAGAACCCCUGGGGUCCCCACAACCAGUCUUGCCAAAUGUCAAAGGAAGGGGAUCCUCCUCUGAGCCCGGGCAGUUUGGAACGUACAGCCUGUAGAGGAUGGGAGCCCUGGCCAACCUCUGGACCACCCAGAGCAGGCCUGUGGGAUCCAUUCACUCAACUGAGCACCUAUGGUAUGCAGUCCUGGGGACACAGAGGGGACAAGGCAGACGGAAGCGGCUGCCUUCAUGCACUCACCAUCUGUUGGGUGGCGGACACCACGCAAGGUUGAUAGCCUGCCCAGUGGCCAUGAAGAUGGUGCAGGACCAAACAGCAUCUUGUUCCGUUACACAAGGUCACCAUGAGUCGGGCUGACUCGACGGCAACUAACAAAAUAACCUGCAGAUUUGGCUUUGUUACUGCUCCCAUUUUACAGACAAGGAAAAUUGUCAGCAAAAACCUGGGGACAGUUUGCGUCCGUCCACCCCUUGCCUACAGCUCGGCUCCUGAAAACUUUGCAUUUUCUGGAACUAUGCUGCCCAUUACAGGAGCCAUGAGCCACAUGUGGCUAUUGAAAUUUAAAUUAGCUAAACUGGGGAAAAAUAUUGAGUAUACCAUGGACUGCCAAAAGAAUGAACAAAUCUGUCUUGGAAAUGUACAGCCAGAAUGCUCCGUAGAAGCCAGGAUGGCGAGACUUCGUCUCACAUACUUUGGACAUGUUCUCAGGAUGGAUCAGUCCCUGGAGAAGGGCAUCACGCUUGGUAAAGCAGAGGGUCAGCGAAAAAGGGGAAGACCCUCAACGAGAUGAAUUGACACAGCGGCUGCAACAGCGGGCUCAAGCGUAACAAUUGUGAGGAUGGCGUAGAACUGGGCAGUGUUUCAUUCUAUUGUAUGUAGCGUCACUGAGUUGGAAUCAACUCAAAGCCAUCUGACAACAAAAGAAUGAAAUAAAAUUGAAAUUGCAAUACCUCAGCCACCCCCCCCACCCCCCAGUGAGAACCUCUGUCCUCAAUGAAGUUUCACCUCCAUUGACUUAUUUCCUCUUCCUAAUUCCCCCCUAGGAGGGACAUGUGAUGAUAGGCCCCACUUUCCAGAUGGGGAAACUGAGACACAAAUAUAGGCAGCGAUGUAAUCAAAACCACACAACAACAGCUGCUGGAAUUUCAUCUCCCUGAGCGUCAGUCUUCUGAUCUGUGAAAUGGGGUUAACAUCGACACCCCCCCAGGGGUGUUGUGAGGACUGAAUGAACUCAUGCCUGUGGGAGACAUCUAAGGGCACAAAACAAAGGCUUAUUAAACAGAGCCUUUGAUUAUUUACCUGAAAGGCCGAAGCUUUGUCCUGUGGCUUCAAGCCUGGCUCAGGGUUUCUCAACCUUGGCGCUGCGGACGUUGGUGGGGGCCAUUCUGUGCACUGUAGCGUGUUGAACAGCAUCCCUGGCCUCCACCCACUCCAUGCCAGUAGCCAUACCCCCUCCCCAGGUGGUGACAACCACGGCUGAGACCGGGGCCCUUAGGGGACUUAAACAAGGUCACCCUACGCAAAACCAUACAUUUCAAUAGUCAACACUUAGAGAGUAAUUCCUUUGACUAGAUUGGGCUGCAAGUUUCACCUCCAUUGACUUAUUUCCUCUUCCUAAUUCCCCCCUAGGAGGGACAUGUGAUGAUAGGCCCCACUUUCCAGAUGGGGAAACUGAGACACAAAUAUAGGCAGCAAUGUAAUCAAAAUCACACAACAACAGCUGCUGGAAUUAAUAUUCAGACCCCCUGAUACUCCACAUUUGGGGACUUUCUUGUGCCCAGCGGGCCCUUGGAGGGCCUCCGUUUCUCUCAUUCCAGGGCCUCUUCCUUGUUGACAGUUUGGGGUGAUCCUGGGUGUUUGGAACCUGUUCUCCGUCCAGCCCAGUGAAGCUCCCAGCUGGGGAUCCCCCACCCUUCUACUCCCUACCAAGAGUCUCUUCUGCCAUCGGCGAAGUUAAUUGUGGCUCCGAGGGUGCAGCUGUUGGCAGCCGGGGGCACAAUAAAGCCUUUGCAUCUCCCUAAAGUAUCCUAUUGGAGUGGGGGCCCCAGGCCUUCUUGCUCCCUGUUGUACAAGUUGGGGAAAUUUCAAAGCGCCCCCACCCUGGGCUACUGAAGAGGGGGCUGGAGUGUGGAGUAAGAAGGUAUGAGUCCGGAGUAAUAAUAAUAAUUUUAACAAUAGCAACUGCCAUGUACAGAAGGCUUACCAAGUGCCACUUGCAACCCAACCUAGUCAAAGGAAUUACUCUCUAAGUAUUAAAGAGGUUAUGCAUUUGAUAUCAUUUCAUCUAACGCCCUACAGUAAUCUUUGUCUGAGGCUGUUGACUCCCUGGUUGCCCAGAGAGGCCAAGUGAGUUACCCAAGGCCACACAGCAAGGGAAGCCCAUGCGUCAACCCAGUUUUAUCUGCGCCUCUCUCUUAAAAACACAUAAAUGAACAUCUUUUUGAAACAGUGUUGGUCCCAGGUUUUAAAGUAUUGUCUUGUUUGCAUGUGUCCUCCUGACUUGGUGGACCUCCACCUGAAUGUGUUUUCUGUGGCUGAUUCUGCACCCAGGACCAGGCAGUGUUUUGUUCUGUUGUACACAGGGCCACUAUGAGUCGGAACCCGCUCGACGGUACCUAACAACAACAGAGCUUGCGGCCGGCGUUUAAUUUGGCACUUUGUACUCUUCAAAAUACAUCCUUUUUCUUUUUUAAAAACAAUGUUGGUAAAACAUCCACAACGUGACAUUUACCCUUUUAACCAUUUUUAAGUGUACAAUUCGGUGGUAUUAAACGCAUUCACCGUGGUGUGCAGCCAUCAACGCUAUUUCCAGAGCUUUCUCACUCAUCACCCCAAACACAAACCCAGUGCCGGUUAAGCACUAGCUCCCCCUUCUCCCCCCGCAGCCCCUGGCAACCACGAAUCUACUUCCUGUCUCUAUCCAUUCGGUUAUUGUAGGUAUUUCACGUAAGUGAGAUGGUAUGAUAGCUGUCCUUUUGCGUCUGGGCCAGCAUAAUGUUUUUGAGGUUCAUCCACGUUGCAGC
Loxodonta africana (African savanna elephant) is the source of this 3577-nucleotide long non-coding RNA. RefSeq lists it as uncharacterized. The transcript is spliced from 4 exons. The record is from RefSeq and is a predicted model, not a curated record. Lineage: Eukaryota; Metazoa; Chordata; Mammalia; Proboscidea; Elephantidae.